GAAACCCACGACCAGUGCAACAGAGAGCAAACCGCCGAUGGCCCACGUAAGUGGGAUCAGGUAAGGGUGAAAGGGUGCGGUAAGAGCGCACCGCGCGGCUGGUAACAGUCCGUGGCACGGUAAACUCCACCCGGAGCAAGGCCAAAUAGGGGUUCAUAAGGUACGGCCCGUACUGAACCCGGGUAGGCUGCUUGAGCCAGUGAGCGAUUGCUGGCCUAGAUGAAUGACUGUCCACGACAGAACCCGGCUUAUCGGUCAGUUUCAC
Molecule: RNase P RNA, 265 nt
Filed under: Salmonella enterica subsp. enterica
Lineage: Bacteria; Pseudomonadati; Pseudomonadota; Gammaproteobacteria; Enterobacterales; Enterobacteriaceae
Description: partial RNase P RNA component class A
Rfam family: Bacterial RNase P class A
About the family: Ribonuclease P (RNase P) is a ubiquitous endoribonuclease, found in archaea, bacteria and eukarya as well as chloroplasts and mitochondria. Its best characterised activity is the generation of mature 5'-ends of tRNAs by cleaving the 5'-leader elements of precursor-tRNAs. Cellular RNase Ps are ribonucleoproteins.
Source: RNAcentral